This 560-nucleotide ribosomal RNA is filed under the name Pseudomonas sp. RNAcentral's name for it is "bacterial SSU rRNA". It matches the Rfam family "Bacterial small subunit ribosomal RNA", at positions 137 to 692 of the family's 1533-position model. Lineage: Bacteria; Pseudomonadati; Pseudomonadota; Gammaproteobacteria; Pseudomonadales; Pseudomonadaceae. RNAcentral also lists the same sequence under 1 other name. The record is from RNAcentral.
UGGGGGAUAACGUUCGGAAACGGACGCUAAUACCGCAUACGUCCUACGGGAGAAAGCAGGGGACCUUCGGGCCUUGCGCUAUCAGAUGAGCCUAGGUCGGAUUAGCUAGUUGGUGAGGUAAUGGCUCACCAAGGCUACGAUCCGUAACUGGUCUGAGAGGAUGAUCAGUCACACUGGAACUGAGACACGGUCCAGACUCCUACGGGAGGCAGCAGUGGGGAAUAUUGGACAAUGGGCGAAAGCCUGAUCCAGCCAUGCCGCGUGUGUGAAGAAGGUCUUCGGAUUGUAAAGCACUUUAAGUUGGGAGGAAGGGCAGUUACCUAAUACGUGAUUGUUUUGACGUUACCGACAGAAUAAGCACCGGCUAACUCUGUGCCAGCAGCCGCGGUAAUACAGAGGGUGCAAGCGUUAAUCGGAAUUACUGGGCGUAAAGCGCGCGUAGGUGGUUUGUUAAGUUGAAUGUGAAAUCCCCGGGCUCAACCUGGGAACUGCAUCCAAAACUGGCAAGCUAGAGUAUGGUAGAGGGUGGUGGAAUUUCCUGUGUAGCGGUGAAAUGCGUA